GGGGUGGUGGCCUAGUGGUUAGAGAGCAGGGCAUUUGUGUCCUGGAGAGGCCACAAGGACCUGGGUUCGAAUCCUACAGACUACCACUCUG
This is a non-coding RNA of Ataeniobius toweri, 91 nucleotides long. Lineage: Eukaryota; Metazoa; Chordata; Actinopteri; Cyprinodontiformes; Goodeidae. The record is from the annotation of a GenBank genome assembly.